RNAcentral lists this ribosomal RNA (492 nucleotides) under uncultured bacterium. RNAcentral describes it as "partial 16S ribosomal RNA". It matches the Rfam family "Bacterial small subunit ribosomal RNA", at positions 29 to 507 of the family's 1533-position model. The record is from RNAcentral.
AGUGAACGCUGGCGGUAGGCCUAACACAUGCAAGUCGAACGGCAGCACAGUAAGAGCUUGCUCUUACGGGUGGCGAGUGGCGGACGGGUGAGGAAUACAUCGGAAUCUACUUUUUCGUGGGGGAUAACGUAGGGAAACUUACGCUAAUACCGCAUACGACCUACGGGUGAAAGCAGGGGAUCUUCGGACCUUGCGCGAUUGAAUGAGCCGAUGUCGGAUUAGCUAGUUGGCGGGGUAAAGGCCCACCAAGGCGACGAUCCGUAGCUGGUCUGAGAGGAUGAUCAGGCACACUGGAACUGAGACACGGUCCAGACUCCUACGGGAGGCAGCAGUGGGGAAUAUUGGACAAUGGGCGCAAGCCUGAUCCAGCCAUACCGCGUGGGUGAAGAAGGCCUUCGGGUUGUAAAGCCCUUUUGUUGGGAAAGAAAAGCAGCAGGUUAAUACCCCGCUGUUCUGACGGUACCCAAAGAAUAAGCACCGGCUAGCUUCGUG